Long non-coding RNA from Cannabis sativa, 522 nucleotides. RefSeq lists it as uncharacterized. The record is from RefSeq and is a predicted model, not a curated record. Lineage: Eukaryota; Viridiplantae; Streptophyta; Magnoliopsida; Rosales; Cannabaceae. The transcript is spliced from 2 exons.
UUCAAAUAUUUAUCUCUUUCUCUUCUUCUCUCUCUCUCUCAGUUUCUCUGCAAUUACUGUGUAUAGUUGGGAAAUGAUGAAGACAACAAAUAACAACACCCAUUAGAUCAAUGACAAGAGAAGGCUUGCGACGGCGGCAACCACCACCAGCACCACUGAAUUCAUAACGGCGCUCAAUAUUGUCGACAUGCAGACCUCCACCAGGCAUGUUCUAAUUCUGUUUUGGUGGAUUUGUAUUACAAAAUUCUCUCAUACCUUUAAAGGUUAAUUCUUUGAAUUGUAAAAUAUAUUUACAGUAACUGAUGUUCUUCUUUUAUUUCAAUUAUUGGUAAAGAUUUCAAAUUUUGGCUUUAAGAGGUUCAUUUAUUUGUUUUGUUAGUUUGCUCUGCUAUCAUCCAACUAACUUUGUAAUUAAUUGGGUUGUUUAAUUGGGUUCUAAUUUUUUAUUAUAUACAUAUUCAUGGAUGUCCUGUAGUUAUUUCUGUUACCAAGUAAAAAUUAAAAAAAGUGUUUUUCAGAUGA